RNAcentral lists this ribosomal RNA (722 nucleotides) under uncultured Fusobacterium sp. Its description in RNAcentral is "bacterial SSU rRNA". It matches the Rfam family "Bacterial small subunit ribosomal RNA", at positions 28 to 776 of the family's 1533-position model. The record is from RNAcentral. Lineage: Bacteria; Fusobacteriati; Fusobacteriota; Fusobacteriia; Fusobacteriales; Fusobacteriaceae.
GACGAACGCUGGCGGCGUGCUUAACACAUGCAAGUCAACUUGAACUUCGGUUUGGGUGGCGGACGGGUGAGUAACGCGUAAAGAACUUGCCUCACAGAUAGGGACAACAUUUGGAAACGAAUGCUAAUACCUGAUAUUAUGAUUUUAGGGCAUCCUAGAAUUAUGAAAGCUAUAUGCGCUGUGAGAGAGCUUUGCGUCCCAUUAGCUAGUUGGAGAGGUAACGGCUCACCAAGGCGAUGAUGGGUAGCCGGCCUGAGAGGGUGAUCGGCCACAAGGGGACUGAGACACGGCCCUUACUCCUACGGGAGGCAGCAGUGGGGAAUAUUGGACAAUGGACCAAGAGUCUGAUCCAGCAAUUCUGUGUGCACGAUGAAGUUUUUCGGAAUGUAAAGUGCUUUCAGUUGGGAAGAAAAAAAUGACGGUACCAACAGAAGAAGUGACGGCUAAAUACGUGCCAGCAGCCGCGGUAACACGUAUGUCACAAGCGUUAUCCGGAUUUAUUGGGCGUAAAGCGCGUCUAGGUGGUUAUAUAAGUCUGAUGUGAAAAUGCAGGGCUCAACUCUGUAUUGCGUUGGAAACUGUGUAACUAGAGUACUGGAGAGGUAAGCGGAACUACAAGUGUAGAGGUGAAAUUCGUAGAUAUUUGUAGGAAUGCCGAUGGGGAAGCCAGCUUACUGGACAGAUACUGACGCUGAAGCGCGAAAGCGUGGGUAGCAAACAGG